This is a non-coding RNA of Schistocerca americana (American grasshopper), 86 nucleotides long. The record is from the annotation of a RefSeq genome assembly. Lineage: Eukaryota; Metazoa; Arthropoda; Insecta; Orthoptera; Acrididae.
GCCUGGGUGGCCGAGCGGUUCUAUAGGCGCUACGGUCUGGAACCGAGCGACCGCUACGGUCGCAGGUUCGAAUCCUGCCUCGGGCA